CAUAGCCUAAUGAUUAUGUUAGGUUAAUUCUGCUCAAUGAAUUAAAUGGCCGCAGUAAACUGACUGUGCUAAGGUAGCAUAAUAAAUUGGCCUUUAAUUGGGGUCUGGUAUGAACGGAAAAUAUGUGAUCUGUCUUAUUUGUAUUAUUUUAACUUACUUAAUAGGUGAAAAUUCCUAUAAACAACGAAGGACGAUAAGACCCUUAGAAUUAUUAAAAUUUUUGUUGGGGCGACAUAUUACCAUUUAACAUAAUUAAAUAAAUAACAAGACUAGUAAGAUUUAAUUACCUGAGGGAUAACAGCAUAAUCAUAUGUUUAUGACCUCGAUGUUGGACUAGGUAAUUUUAACUAACAGUUACUAACGUUCUGUUCGAACCCUACGUGAUCU
RNAcentral lists this ribosomal RNA (387 nucleotides) under Anguispira jessica. Its description in RNAcentral is "partial large subunit ribosomal RNA". The record is from RNAcentral. Lineage: Eukaryota; Metazoa; Mollusca; Gastropoda; Stylommatophora; Discidae.